UAUAUAUUGUAAACUUAUCCGGUUUUUGUUCCAAAUUCUAAUCUGAGAUGAGUCCCAACCAAGUAUACGGCUUUAGCAUUGUCUCAUCUAAAAGUCCAGCCCGCAGUAUAACUAGAAGCUACCAGCUAAAUCAUUUGGUUCAUAUCUGUUACAUCAGGGUCGGAUCUCGUCGGAGAAACCGCUGCUGCUAUGGCCGCCGCCUCAAUUGUGUUCCGGCGAUCCAACCCCGCCUAACUCUAGCGAGCUCCUCCGCCACACUCACCAGGUCAUUCUAUUUUCAGAUUUUCACAUUUUUAUUGCAUACCUCUUAAAUCACAUAUAAUUAAAUAUGAGUCUCACAUGGUAUGUUUUGACUAAUUGUACCACUUUGGAGGUUUUUUGUGCCUCUUUUGGAGGUUUUUGUACUUUCUUGGAUGAUUUAUCUAUUUUUUAUGAUUAUUGCAUUUGAAUUGUAUCAAUAUUAUACUUUUCCUUCUAUGAUGUCAAUAUUUCAAAGAUCAAGUCUCAAAGGUUUGUUUCUUCAUUCGAAAUCUCUUAUCAAUUUCUUUUAUAUAGAUCCAAAUUUAACUCUUACGUUUUAUAAUUAAUCUGAAUAUAUUAUAUGUAGUUUUAUUUUACUUUGGGAUAGUGAUGGCUGUCAAACAAUGGAGUGUUGAGAGUUGAGACUAUUAUUUUUCUAGUUCCAGCCCUUCCAAACCGCCGGAGGGAAAGUGUGUGGCGGAGUUCUGGACUAAUUAUAGUUUGCUUUUUUUUAUCAUUAAUUUAUUAAUUACGGUUUUUUUCUUGUAAGUACUUAAUUACAAUUUAGUGGAGUUUUUGUUUUGACUUUAA
Long non-coding RNA from Cannabis sativa, 831 nucleotides. RefSeq lists it as uncharacterized. The record is from RefSeq and is a predicted model, not a curated record. The transcript is spliced from 2 exons. NCBI's taxonomy places the organism in Eukaryota, Viridiplantae, Streptophyta, Magnoliopsida, Rosales, Cannabaceae.